AUUGAACGCUGGCGGCAGGCCUAACACAUGCAAGUCGAGCGAGAAAGGUCUUCGGACUGAGUACAGCGGCGGACGGGUGAGUAAUGCGCAGGAAUCUACCUGGUAGUGGGGGGAUAACUCGGGGAAACUCGAACUAAUACCGCAUACGCCUACGGGGAAAGGCGGGGGACCGUUCGGGCCGUCGCGCUAUCAGAUGAGCCUGCGUAGGAUUAGCUUGUUGGUGAGGUAAAGGCUCACCAAGGCGACGAUCCUUAGCUGGUCUGAGAGGAUGAUCAGCCACACUGGAACUGAGACACGGUCCAGACUCCUACGGGAGGCAGCAGUGGGGAAUCUUGCGCAAUGGGCGAAAGCCUGACGCAGCAACGCCGCGUGAGUGAUGAAGGCCCUCGGGUCGUAAAGCUCUGUCCUGGGAGAAGAAUUUUGACGGUAUCCCAGAAGAAAGCACCGGCUAACUCCGUGCCAGCAGCCGCGGUAAUGUGACU
RNAcentral lists this ribosomal RNA (482 nucleotides) under uncultured bacterium. RNAcentral describes it as "bacterial SSU rRNA". It matches the Rfam family "Bacterial small subunit ribosomal RNA", at positions 29 to 530 of the family's 1533-position model. The record is from RNAcentral.